UGCGUAGGCGGUUUAGUAAGUCAGAUGUGAAAGCCCCGGGCUCAACCUGGGAAUUGCAUUUGAUACUGCUGAACUAGAGUAUGGUAGAGGGAAGUGGAAUUCCGGGUGUAGCGGUGAAAUGCGUAGAUAUCCGGAGGAACACCAGUGGCGAAGGCGACUUCCUGGACCAAUACUGACGCUGAGGUACGAAAGCGUGGGUAGCAAACA
This 207-nucleotide ribosomal RNA is filed under the name uncultured bacterium. RNAcentral describes it as "partial 16S ribosomal RNA". It matches the Rfam family "Bacterial small subunit ribosomal RNA", at positions 568 to 774 of the family's 1533-position model. The record is from RNAcentral.